RNAcentral lists this ribosomal RNA (257 nucleotides) under uncultured bacterium. Its description in RNAcentral is "partial 16S ribosomal RNA". It matches the Rfam family "Bacterial small subunit ribosomal RNA", at positions 335 to 607 of the family's 1533-position model. The record is from RNAcentral.
UCCCUACGGGAGGCAGCAGUGGGGAAUAUUGGGCAAUGGGCGCAAGCCUGACCCGGCAACGCCGCGUGAAGGAAGAAGGCUUUCGGGUUGUAAACUUCUUUUCUUGGGGACGAAGAAAGUGACGGUACCCAAGGGAUAAGCCACGGCUAACUACGUGCCAGCAGCCGCGGUAAUACGUAGGUGGCAAGCGUUAUCCGGAUUUAUUGGGUGUAAAGGGCGUGUAGGCGGGAUUGCAAGUCAGAUGUGAAAACCACGGG